RNAcentral lists this ribosomal RNA (332 nucleotides) under uncultured eukaryote. RNAcentral's name for it is "partial 18S ribosomal RNA". It matches the Rfam family "Eukaryotic small subunit ribosomal RNA", at positions 1470 to 1796 of the family's 1831-position model. The record is from RNAcentral.
CCCUUAGAUGUCCUGGGCCGCACGCGCGCUACACUGAGUGUCUGAGAUACGAGUCUGCCUGGUCCGGCAAGGUCUAGGUAAUCGCUAAAAGACACAUCAUGCUUGGGAUAGAUUAUUGCAAAUAUUAAUCUUGAACGAGGAAUUCCUAGUAAGCGCGAGUCAUCAGCUCGCGCUGAUUACGUCCCUGCCCUUUGUACACACCGCCCGUCGCUACUACAGAGUGCCCGUGUCCAAGAAACGGUUGGACCUGUGCGGCCUCUCCGGGCGACCGGAGGGCCGUUACGGGAAAGACCCUUUAUUUGACGCGGGUCGAUGAAGUAAAAGUCGUAACA